CCUACGGGGGGCUGCAGUGGGGAAUUUUGGACAAUGGGGGCAACCCUGAUCCAGCCAUGCCGCGUGCGGGAAGAAGGCCUUCGGGUUGUAAACCGCUUUCGGCCGGAACGAAAUCGCCGGGGAGAACAUCCCCGGUGGAUGACGGUACCGGAAGAAGAAGCACCGGCUAACUACGUGCCAGCAGCCGCGGUAAUACGUAGGGUGCGAGCGUUAAUCGGAAUGAGUGCACGCAGUUCGUGCACAGGGGGGUGAAAUCCCCGGGCUUAACCCGGGAACUGCGUUUGUGACUGGCGGGCUGGAGUGCGGAAGAGGGAGGUGGAAUUCCACGUGUAGCAGUGAAAUGCGUAGAGAUGUGGAGGAACACCGAUGGCGAAGGCAGCCUCCUGGUCUAGCACUGACGCUCAUGCACGAAAGCGUGGGGAGCAAACAGGAUUAGAUACCCCAGUAGUC
This 450-nucleotide ribosomal RNA is filed under the name uncultured bacterium. Its description in RNAcentral is "partial 16S ribosomal RNA". It matches the Rfam family "Bacterial small subunit ribosomal RNA", at positions 338 to 795 of the family's 1533-position model. The record is from RNAcentral.